UACGGAGGGUGCAAGCGUUGUUCGGAAUCACUGGGCGUAAAGGGCGUGUAGGCGGUCCGCUAAGUCUGAUGUGAAAGCCCGAGGCUUACCCUCGGAAGUGCAUUGGAGACUGGCGGACUGGAGUCCCGGAGAGGAGGGUGGAAUUCCUGGUGUAGCGGUGAAAUGCGUAGAGAUGUGGAGGAACACCGAUGGCGAAGGCAGCCCCCUGGGUCGAUACUGACGCUCAUGCACGAAAGCGUGGGGAGCAAACAGG
Molecule: ribosomal RNA, 253 nt
Filed under: uncultured prokaryote
Description: partial 16S ribosomal RNA
Rfam family: Bacterial small subunit ribosomal RNA
Source: RNAcentral